RNAcentral lists this ribosomal RNA (460 nucleotides) under uncultured bacterium. RNAcentral's name for it is "partial 16S ribosomal RNA". It matches the Rfam family "Bacterial small subunit ribosomal RNA", at positions 338 to 795 of the family's 1533-position model. The record is from RNAcentral.
CCUACGGGAGGCAGCAGUGAGGAAUAUUGGUCAAUGGGCGUAAGCCUGAACCAGCCAAGUCGCGUGAGGGAUGAAGGUUCUAUGGAUCGUAAACCUCUUUUAUAAGGGAAUAAAGUGUGGGACGUGUCCUGCUUUGUAUGUACCUUAUGAAUAAGGAUCGGCUAACUCCGUGCCAGCAGCCGCGGUAAUACGGAGGAUCCGAGCGUUAUCCGGAUUUAUUGGGUUUAAAGGGUGCGUAGGUCGUUUUUUAAGUCAGCGGUGAAAGGUUGUGGCUCAACCAUAACAUUGCCGUUGAAACUGGAGGACUUGAGUGUGUUUAAGGUAGGCGGAAUGCGUGGUGUAGCGGUGAAAUGCAUAGAUAUCACGCAGAACUCCGAUUGCGAAGGCAGCUUACUAAGCCAUAACUGACACUGAAGCACGAAAGCGUGGGGAUCGAACAGGAUUAGAUACCCUUGUAGUC